GAUGAAGAACGUAGCGAAAUGCGAUAAGUAGUGUGAAUUGCAGAAUUCAGUGAAUCAUCGAAUCUUUGAACGCACAUUGCGCCCCUUGGUAUUCCAUGGGGCAUGCCUGUUCGAGCGUCAUUUGUACCUUCAAGCUCUGCUUGGUGUUGGGUGUUUGUCCUUGCUCUAGUGGCGGGACUCGCCUUAAAGUAAUUGGCAGCCAGUGUUUUGGUUUUGAAGCGCAGCACAAGUCGCGAUUCAAGUCUAUACGCUAGUUUCCACAAGUCUUUUAUCACUUUUGACCUCGGAUCAGGUAGGGAUAGCCGCUGAACUUAAGCAUAUCAAUAAGCGGAGGA
This 335-nucleotide unclassified non-coding RNA is filed under the name soil metagenome. RNAcentral's name for it is "partial contains 5.8S ribosomal RNA, internal transcribed spacer 2, and large subunit ribosomal RNA". The stretch from base 1 to 120 matches the Rfam family "5.8S ribosomal RNA", at positions 35 to 154 of the family's 154-position model. The record is from RNAcentral.